Molecule: ribosomal RNA, 2225 nt
Filed under: Streptococcus thermophilus
Lineage: Bacteria; Bacillati; Bacillota; Bacilli; Lactobacillales; Streptococcaceae
Description: bacterial LSU rRNA
Rfam family: Bacterial large subunit ribosomal RNA
Source: RNAcentral
UUAAGUGAAUAAGGGCGCACGGUGGAUGCCUUGGUACUAGGAGCCGAAGAAGGACGGAACUAACACCGAUAUGCUUUGGGGAGCUGUAAGUAAGCUAAGAUCCAAAGAUUUCCGAAUGGGGGAACCCAGCACCUUUCAUAGGGUGUUACCAAUGAGUGAAUACAUAGCUCAUUAGGAGGUACACGCAGGGAACUGAAACAUCUCAUUACCUGCAGGAAGAGAAAGAAAAAUCGAUUCCCUGAGUAGCGGCGAGCGAAACGGGAGGAGCCCAAACCAACGAGCUUGCUUGUUGGGGUUGUAGGACUAGAACGUGAGAAGACAUCAAGAUAGCAGAAGUGGUCUGGAAAGGCCCAUCACAGAAGGUGACAAUCCUGUACGCGACAUCUUGACGAACUCUACUAGCAUCCUGAGUACGGCGGGACACGAGGAAUCCCGUCGGAAUCCGCCAGGACCAUCUGGCAAGGCUAAAUACUACCUAGUGACCGAUAGUGAACCAGUACCGUGAGGGAAAGGUGAAAAGAACCCCGGGAGGGGAGUGAAAGAGUACCUGAAACCGUGUGCUUACAAGUAGUCAGAGCCCGUUAAUGGGUGAUGGCGUGCCUUUUGUAGAAUGAACCGGCGAGUUACGUUUACAUGCGAGGUUAAGAUGAAGAGUCGGAGCCGUAGCGAAAGCGAGUCUGAAUAGGGCGCAUGAAGUAUGUGGACGUAGACCCGAAACCAAGUGAUCUACCCAUGUCCAGGUUGAAGGUGCGGUAAAACGCACUGGAGGACCGAACCAGGGCACGUUGAAAAGUGCUUGGAUGAGGUGUGGGUAGCGGAGAAAUUCCAAUCGAACUUGGAGAUAGCUGGUUCUCUCCGAAAUAGCUUUAGGGCUAGCCUCGGAAGUGAGAAUCGUGGAGGUAGAGCACUGUUUGGACUAGGGGCCCAUCUCGGGUUACCGAAUUCAGAUAAACUCCGAAUGCCAUGUAUUUAUAUCCGGGAGUCAGACUGCGAGUGAUAAGAUCCGUAGUCGAAAGGGAAACAGCCCAGACCACCAGCUAAGGUCCCAAAAUAUCUGUUAAGUGGAAAAGGAUGUGGGGUUGCACAGACAACUAGGAUGUUGGCUUAGAAGCAGCCAUCAUUCAAAGAGUGCGUAAUAGCUCACUAGUCGAGUGACCCUGCGCCGAAAAUGUAACGGGGCUAAACAGAUUACCGAAGCUGUGGAUUGGACCUAAUGGUCCAGUGGUAGGAGAGCGUUCUAAGGGCGGAGAAGCAUGACCGUAAGGACAUGUGGAGCGCUUAGAAGUGAGAAUGCCGGUAUGAGUAGCGAAAGACGGGUGAGAAUCCCGUCCACCGAAUAACUAAGGUUUCCUGGGGAAGGCUCGUCCUCCCAGGGUUAGUCGGGACCUAAGGCGAGGCCGAUAGGCGUAGUCGAUGGACAACAGGUUGAUAUUCCUGUACUUCUAUAAAUCGUUUGAGCAAUGGAGGGACGCAGGAGGCUAAGAAAAGCGUACGACUGGAAGUGUACGCCCAAGCAGUGAGUCGGCUGAUGAGUCAAAUGCUUAUCACAGAUGCGACAAGCUGUAACGGGGAGGGAAGUUUAGUACCGAAGUUUCUGAUGUCACACUGCCGAGAAAAGCUUCUAGCAAGAUUUAUAGGACCCGUACCGCAAACCGACACAGGUAGUUGAGGAGAGAAUCCUAAGGUGAGCGAGCGAACUCUCGUUAAGGAACUCGGCAAAAUGACCCCGUAACUUCGGGAGAAGGGGUGCUGGUAGCAAUACCAGCCGCAGUGAAUAGGCCCAGGCGACUGUUUAUCAAAAACACAGGUCUCUGCAAAAUCGAAAGAUGACGUAUAGGGGCUGACGCCUGCCCGGUGCUGGAAGGUUAAGAGGAGAGGUUAGCGCAAGCGAAGCUUUGAAUUGAAGCCCCAGUAAACGGCGGCCGUAACUAUAACGGUCCUAAGGUAGCGAAAUUCCUUGUCGGGUAAGUUCCGACCCGCACGAAAGGCGUAACGAUCUGGGCACUGUCUCAACGAGAGACUCGGUGAAAUUAUAGUACCUGUGAAGAUGCAGGUUACCCGCGACAGGACGGAAAGACCCCAUGGAGCUUUACUGUAGUUUGAUAUUGAGUGUUUGUGUCACAUGUACAGGAUAGGUAGGAGCUGAAGAAUCCGGGACGCCAGUUUCGGAGGAGGCAACGGUGGGAUACUACCCUUGUGACAUGACCACUCUAACCCGCACCCCU